GAUGAACGCUAGCGGCAGGCUUAACACAUGCAAGUCGAGGGGUAGAAGGAGCUUGCUCCUUUGAGACCGGCGCACGGGUGCGUAACGCGUAUGCAAUCUGCCUUACACUAAGGGAUAGCCCAGAGAAAUUUGGAUUAAUACCUUAUAGUAUAUAGGAGGGACCUCCCUUUUAUAUUAAAGAUUUAUCGGUGUAAGAUGAG
Molecule: ribosomal RNA, 200 nt
Filed under: uncultured bacterium
Lineage: Bacteria
Description: partial 16S ribosomal RNA
Rfam family: Bacterial small subunit ribosomal RNA
Source: RNAcentral